UUACAAGUGCUUUUCGCGUGCGUUUGUGAGAUAUUGGUGAAGGAUCGCGUGCGUUUGUGAGAUAUUGGUGAAGGAUCGCGUGCGUUUGUGAGAUAUUGGUGAAGGAUCGCGUGCGUUUGUGAGAUAUUGGUGAAGGAUCGCGUGCGUUUGUGAGAUAUUGGUGAAGGAUCGCGUGCGUUGGUGAGAUAUUGGUGAAGGAUCGCGUGCGUUGGUGAGAUACUGGUGAAGGAUCGCGUGCGUUGGUGAGAUACUGGUGAAGGAUCGCGUGCGUUGGUGAGAUACUGGUGAAGGAUCGCGUGCGUUGGUGAGAUACUGGUGAUAAUUAAUAUCUGAUCUGCUCUCUGAUUUAAAGAUUGGUAUAAUCGAGUCCACCUUCCAAGCUGGUGGAACAACAGCCUGUUUAAUUGAUAGAUUUAUCAUAUGUGUAAUGUAGCUUUGGAAUUAUUUAAUUCAUCAUUGACACAUUUGGUUUCCUUAAUUUCUUCAAUCAUAAAUAUAGGCUGGGUGUAGUUUUCAUUUCAUUUUCAGAUGGGGUGAAUAACUGAGAUGUUUCUUGAACAGAAUUUUUUUUUUUUUAAAUAAUUUAACUCAGACACGAGGAUAACCAAUACAUUAUUAAAUUUAAGUUCAAAGAAUUUAUCCUGUUUUUUCUGUUUACCAAUUAAUUUGUUAAUGCUUUGCCAGAUUUUUUUCCCUUUCCCUCUUGCACUUUCAAUAAUUGUGUGCGUUUGUGAGAUACUGGUGAAGAAUUCUGUCUGUGAGAUAUUGAUGGAGGAUCGUGUGUGUGUGAGAUAUUGAUGGAUUGUGUAUGUUUGUGAGAUAUUGAUGAUAACAUUGAUAACAAACGAGCAGCAGAAACCUGAGAGCUCCUCCAUCACAGUGAGGAGGGAGCAGAGAUUUGUCAAGUUAAGAUGGAGUGUUGUAUGUCGUUAUUAUCGGCUGCUGAUGACGAUCCUGACAGGACGAUGAAGAUAAUGAUGUCUGGUGUCCGAACAGACUCUCAUUAAAGCUUCAUCGUCCUGCAAAAAAUCUAAAGACAUCUGGCUACACCAGAGCUGUUUCUCCUGGUGAAAAACAUCCACACUGGUUUAGACACAUUUACAGAAUUGCUUUAAACAUGCACCACAGCCUUGGUAAGGCCAAGUACAUACAUUUCAGUGUCAUCUGCAUACAGUCGAAUGUUAGUGUCAGGAUAAAUGAAUGGAAAACAAUUCAUGCAUUAUGUAUCUAGCAGUGGGCCCCAGGAUAGAGCUCUGUGGGACACAUUUGGGCAGACAAAGUGCAACUGAGACAAACCAAGCAAUUUGAUAGAUAUGAUUGAAGCUAGCUUACGUAAACAAGAGAAUCUGGUUAUUAACUUCAGGUGAAAAAGCUCCUACAACACCUUUCAUCCAACAGAUAUUUACAGUCAGCAGAGUUUAGAGUGGAUAAACGUUCAUAAAUCUGUUAAGAUUCAUAUAAAAAGACAUCCCAAUGAACUUGUUGGUCUGCAGCAGUGCCAACACAAACUUUGGCCGCUAGCAUGACUUUUUAUGAUGCACAUGUACCAGAAUGAGUCAGGGUUUUGGGUUAGUUAGGUGUGUUUUUAGUGUUUCCUGUGUUGCAUUGUAGCUUUGACCUGCCCUAGUGUUCUGGUCUUGUUUUAGUCUCUUUGUUCCUUGCCUUUGAUUUUGUUUUCUCACGUUAUGUUUUAUAUUGUGAUAUAUAUCCAUAUGUUUAUAUGAGCUUUACUUGCUGUGUUAUUUUGUGGCGUUCUGCCUCUUGUUUCUUUGUUUCCUGCUUCUGUUCAUUCUCACUGAUUUUCUCAUUGUGUAUUAUUACAUUCGCUCCUCCUGUGGUGUUUGUGUUUUAUGGAUAGUUCUAUGUUUCGCUUGGAUUUUGUUAUUCAGCUCUGGAUUACUUUGCCUCUGUUUUGGACAAUCGACCUCACUGGCACCUAGUGUAAAUAAAACCUCGCUCAACUGGA
Micropterus dolomieu (smallmouth bass) is the source of this 1966-nucleotide long non-coding RNA. RefSeq lists it as uncharacterized. The record is from RefSeq and is a predicted model, not a curated record. The transcript has 2 exons. NCBI's taxonomy places the organism in Eukaryota, Metazoa, Chordata, Actinopteri, Centrarchiformes, Centrarchidae.